GACGAACGCUGGCGGCGUGCUUAACACAUGCAAGUCGAACGGAGAGGCCCUGCUUUUGUGGGGUGCUCGAGUGGCGAACGGGUGAGUAACACGUGAGUAACCUGCCCUUGACUUUGGGAUAACUUCAGGAAACUGGGGCUAAUACCGGAUAGGAGCUCCUGCUGCAUGGUGGGGGUUGGAAAGUUUCGGCGGUUGGGGAUGGACUCGCGGCUUAUCAGCUUGUUGGUGGGGUAGUGGCUUACCAAGGCUUUGACGGGUAGCCGGCCUGAGAGGGUGACCGGCCACAUUGGGACUGAGAGACGGCCCAGACUCCUACGGGAGGCAGCAGUGGGGAAUAUUGCACAAUGGGCGGAAGCCUGAUGCAGCAACGCCGCGUGCGGGAUGACGGCCUUCGGGUUGUAAACCGCUUUCGCCUGUGACGAAGCGUGAGUGACGGUAAUGGGUAAAGAAGCACCGGCUAACUACGUG
Molecule: ribosomal RNA, 468 nt
Filed under: uncultured bacterium
Lineage: Bacteria
Description: partial 16S ribosomal RNA
Rfam family: Bacterial small subunit ribosomal RNA
Source: RNAcentral